This 72-nucleotide transfer RNA is filed under the name Giardia muris. It matches the Rfam family "tRNA". From Rfam's summary of the family: Transfer RNA (tRNA) molecules are approximately 80 nucleotides in length. Their secondary structure includes four short double-helical elements and three loops (D, anti-codon, and T loops). Lineage: Eukaryota; Fornicata; Diplomonadida; Hexamitidae. The record is from Rfam by way of RNAcentral.
GCGGUUAUAGUACAGUGGCUAGUAUACUCGCCUGUCACGUGAGUGACCCGGGUUCGAUUCCCGGUAACCGCG